CGGAGCGUAGCGCAGUCUGGUAGCGCACCUCGUUCGGGACGAGGGGGUCGGAGGUUCGAAUCCUCUCGCUCCGA
Molecule: transfer RNA, 74 nt
Filed under: Marinimicrobium koreense
Lineage: Bacteria; Pseudomonadati; Pseudomonadota; Gammaproteobacteria; Cellvibrionales; Cellvibrionaceae
Also listed under: 2 other names
Rfam family: tRNA
About the family: Transfer RNA (tRNA) molecules are approximately 80 nucleotides in length. Their secondary structure includes four short double-helical elements and three loops (D, anti-codon, and T loops).
Source: Rfam by way of RNAcentral